CAGCGCGCUGCCUUCCCUGUGCUCGGGGCUGGCCUCUUGCAGGAGCGGCCCUUCUCUGAGGCAACAGAGCCAUUACCGAGCAACGCCCUCGCGUCAGCCCGACCUGCAGGCCGGGAGCGCGGCUCCACGGGCAGCGCAGGUGCCGCGGGGGCGGGCUGCGCCGGCCCCGCUCCGCCCAGCGACAGAGAGGAGGGCCGGCCCGGCGGCGAGCGCACCUGGACACCGCGGCGGCGGGGACGCGGCCGGCUCCGCGCCCCCUGACGGGGCUGCCAGCGCCGCGCCCGGCCACAGCGCGCUCCCGCCGCCAUGUCGGCCCGGCGGCGGCGACGAGCGGCCGCUGAUGAGGAGGAGGAGGAGGAGAAGAAGAAGGAGGCGGAGGAGGACGAGGAUGGCAGCGACAGGGAAGUGGAUUUGGAUGAAGGACUUGUCGAUUUGGAUCUCAGAAAUGAUUCAGAUACCCCUGAUGUUCCACCGCCAACAGACAGCACUCCAGAAAUCCUCAAAAGGGCUUUGUCGGGCUUGUCUGCCAGAUGGAAAAAUUGGUGGAUUCGUGGAAUUCUAACGCUAGCUAUGAUUUCCAUGUUUUUUCUGAUCAUAUACAUGGGAUCUUUCAUGCUGAUGCUUUUGGUCUUGGGCAUCCAAGUGAAAUGUUUCCACGAAAUCAUUACUAUAGGUUACAGAGUGUAUCACUCGUACGAUUUACCGUGGUUCAGAUCCCUCAGCUGGUAUUUCUUGCUGUGUGUCAAUUACUUUUUUUAUGGGGAGACUGUGGCUGAUUACUUUGGUACAUUUGUUCAGAGAAGAGAACAGCUUCAGUUCUUAAUUCGUUACCACAGGUUCAUCUCUUUUGCACUCUACCUGGCAGGCUUCUGCAUGUUUGUUCUGAGUUUAGUGAAGAAACACUAUCGUCUGCAGUUUUACAUGUUCGCAUGGACUCAUGUCACUUUGCUGAUCACUGUAACUCAAUCUCAUCUAGUCAUCCAAAAUCUCUUUGAAGGCAUGAUCUGGUUUCUGGUGCCAAUUUCGAGUGUUAUCUGCAAUGACAUUGCUGCUUACAUUUUUGGAUUCUUUUUUGGCAGAACUCCAUUAAUUAAGCUGUCUCCCAAAAAGACCUGGGAAGGGUUCAUUGGAGGUGGCUUCUCCACAGUUCUGUUUGGAUUUGUUUUUUCCUAUUUCUUGGCUCAGCAUCAAUACUUUGUCUGCCCAGUGGAAUAUAACAGUGAAACCAACAGAUUUGUGACAGAGUGUGAACCUUCAGAGCUCUUCCAGCUGAAGAAAUACUCUGUGCCACUAUUGCUUCAGGCUGUGUUGGGUUGGGAAACGGUGAAUAUGUACCCAUUCCAGAUGCACAGCAUUGCACUGUCAACAUUUGCCUCUCUAAUUGGGCCAUUUGGAGGAUUCUUUGCCAGCGGGUUUAAACGAGCUUUCAAAAUUAAGGAUUUUGCAGACACAAUCCCUGGGCAUGGCGGCAUUAUGGAUCGCUUUGAUUGUCAGUACUUGAUGGCUACUUUUGUUCAUGUCUACAUCACCAGUUUCAUAAGGGGCCCAAAUCCCAGCAAAGUACUGAAGCAGCUGCUGGUCCUUCAGCCCGAGCAACAACUCAAUGUGUACAGAACCCUGAAAUCUCAUCUUGUCGAAAAAGGGAUCCUGCAGCCAUCUCUGCGAGGAUAGUUCUCAAAACAGAGGAGUGGUGAGAAAAAGACAUUCAGACGUUGUCUGUGGAAAAGCACUGUAAGUGUGCACAAAGGUAAUGGCUGAAGGAAGAAUACAUCAUGAUCUGGAGGAGGUGAAUGUUUCUUUCCUUAAAGGAAUGUGAAUGCUGUGACUUUCCAAUAGGAUACAGGAGAACAGUUAUUCCGAAAAUAAUUAAAAUGCUUACAAAGUAACAGUACACGUGCUAUGUAUUUUAUUUCCCGCAGUGGAUGGUAGCAGGCCUUCUUCAGCACCAAGCCUGACAACAUUUGUAUUUUAAAAAGUGCUUUUUAAGUUGUCCUGGAUUAGAACAGUAAGACUGAACUCACCAUGAGCUAUAUAUCCAGCAAACUUUAGUGAAAUUUCUCAAUUCUCUGGUGGCUUUUAAUGAGUUCUCUGUUACUGUAUGUCAUAGCCAUACUUUCUUGGUGUGAAGUGGUUACUGGAGUAAAAAUACAGAAGAGGGAGGCGGUUGCUCGUUUAUCCAGCUGGGUGCUGAUCAAGUUGGCCAGAAAAUCCACGUUUGUUUGGUCAAAGCUGUGCUGAUGGACAGCUCUGUCAGAUCUCCUGUAUUUACUGAGUCACUGUGAAAGUGAAACUUUGCUCUGCUUUUGAUUAAUCAGCUUUCUUACGAAACUACUUCAUCCUUUCAAGAGGGAGGUAUCUGUACUGAAGCAUACUGAGCUGGUUGGGCUGCAGAGCUGCUGUUUUUUUAAAUUAAUGCUAUGGACUGUAAAGAAGCGCAUAUGUCCAGGAGCAGCGAUUACCUGAAGGUGGGAUUCUCCAACCCUGUGAACAGAUUGGAAAGAAUGUGGAGCUUAAGAUCUUGAUUUCCACGGGACGGUUGCGUUCCCAAGAGAGACGGCAGCAAUUAAUUUCUGACCUUUUUGCCUUCAAGUCUCCUGGCCAUCCAAGAUGGUAACCGCAGACUCGCAGUGAUGGCUGAGCUGCUCAGUACAGGAUUUGGAAUACCCUGAGUUGGAAGGGACCACGAGGAUUGCUUGUCCAAUUCCUGGAACAGAGGAACUGAGCUUACAUCUCCUGUCUGAGGCACUGUGUAUGUUCUACCAAAGCACUUGCAGUGUGUUCUGCUCCUCUGGUACAAAGGCCAGGUUGCUGGAUGGGCACUGGAGGUUGUGCUGUGCUGAGGCCAAGAGAAGAACUGCUUGCAGGGAUAGUGACAUAGCAGCAAAGCAGCCAGAAAGCACAAGUCAUCCUUUUUUUUUUUUUUUUUUUUUGGUGCAGUUCUGUCAGGAGGAAAUAGUUGUUUGGUUAUUUGUUUUCAUUUUGACAUCAGUUGCCCUACAUAACAGUAAGCCUCACUGAGUGGAGUCUCUUUGUCCCGUUGCGCUAGAACGUGUACAAAGCUAAGGUACAGCUGUCCUUUCUCUUGCAAAUAGCUUCUCAGUUAUAAAAUGGAUGUUCACACCCGUGUUGUGGCCUUUUCAAACUGUACAAACUCAGAUGCAGCUGUAUGCGAUGGGAUCUCAGGAACAGGCUGUGACAUUGGUGAUGCCUACAGACUCGUACUGCUGAAAACUGCAGAACUGCCCUCUGGUUUGUUGCCCAGAUUGCACUGUGUGUGCUGAACACCAGUUCUGGUGGUGGAAAUUUCAGCAAAAUCUCUAAAGGAGCAGGUGAGAAAGACUCUUAGAACAGAAGAAUUUAGGACUUUGACAAGCUCAGCCACACCCUUUGCAAGGAUGCAUGACAAGGCAACAUAUUCUCACAGGGGGGUAAAGCUAUAAAACUGCUGUUAGAACUCUGCUCUUUGAUCACAGGAAAUUAAACACUUGGGCCAUCUGGCAAGAGUUGUGCACACCUUCAAAGAAAACACGUGGAGAGGUCCAAUUGCCCGAUCAUGGCUGUUAUUGACUCCCUACCUAUGGCCAGUCUCUGAGGGUUAUGUGCACUUGAAGAGUGUGUGUGAAGCUGUGCACUUCCACCUUAUUUCUCCUGUGACAAACCCAGCAAAUACAGAACAGCCCUAGUUGGAAGGGACCUAUAAGGAUCUUUGAGUCCAAAAUGGAUGAGAGCACAGCAUCCUGAGAAGAAAUGGCUGUCACAUACUGUGCUGUACAGCCUCAUGGAAAUACGUUGCAGGGCCACGUGUUCUAAGGUCAGAAGGAAACUCUCAAAAAAACCACUUCAUUGUGCUUCCCAGUGUGUGUUCAACAUCCUCCCUUCAGAAGCAGUGCUUUAUCACCUUGCUACUGGUUCAGCUGGUGCUGUUACUUUCAUUCCCAGAGCUGAUGUGGAACAUCGGCUACAUAGGAAAGUGAGCCCAAUACACACUUUUUUUUUAACAUUCAAAGUCUUGAACCCAGAUACCUGAGCAUCAGUAGAUGGAAAAAAAAGCCCAAAUCGAUGGGAUGGUGUAUGUGCCUUUGUGUCGCUGAGUCUUCUCCCCUCCUGUGAACCACUGUGCAUACAGUAUUCCCCUAACCUCUUGUUUUCUUUUUUUUUCCCCACCCAGGAGGACCUGGCAGCUGAUGCACUGCAAUCACACUCAGGAAAUGAGAGCAGAUAAGAAGGGUCUGCUCAGGGUUACCUCCCUCAGCAACUCUGCAGGCAGUGGGGCUGCAGGGCCCAUACCCAGCCCAUGAGCUUUGCAGGGCGAAGCAUCUCUUCUGAGCUGUUCCAGGAGAGCUGCUCCUGCAGGGCCUGCUCUGCUCCCAGGAAGAAGCAUCUCCCAGCAGGGAUGUAGCGAUAGGCAGAGAGGAGCUUCUGCAUGGUGAAAGUGCCCCUCCUUGGUGGGCUCUUAGUUUCGUCAAGGUAAGUCCCUUCCUUGCAGAAGUGCUGAACAUGCAGGUGUCUUCAGGACCUCGGGAUCACCUCAUCAUCAGGUAUUUUUGGAAAUAUAAGAGAGAACAGAGUGCUUGGGAAAGCAGGGUUGGCUAUGGCAACUGCAGAAAGAUGCUUUCACCUAAGAGGUGCCUGUAUUUGUGGACUCCUUCCUUGAGGACAGAAGACAGUUGCUUCUGUUGCUCUGAGCCAUGGCGUGGUACCCCUGCUGAUAAGAGAGAAACCUCACAAUCAACCCAUAAGCCAUGGCUUUCCCUUCAAAGGUGCAGCUCUCAGUCUCGCUGGCGUCCUUAAACCAUCCUCCACCUUUCUGCUUAUCUGAGUGAAAGCAAGUUGGAAGGCUCUUUAAGGAUUUGACUUCCCUAACUUGUGGCAGAAGCUGUUCGCUCGAGCUUUCACAUGAUCUGGAACAGGUUUAACCAAAAAACAUUGUGUAGCUCUCCAAGCCUCUGAUGCAUCUUGAUGGCUCUUCUUCAGAGGGCUUCUAUAUCUGAUAGCUGAGAGAAGUGGCUGACUUGCUGCCAUGCAAUCAGUAAAACUUUUAGGCUAAAUACACAUGCUAAAUUAAAAAAAAAAAAAUCCAACAAAAAAUCUAAAAAGCUUUACUAUUUUGGCCCCAAAUGCUCUAAUGGCUAAUGGUUGUGCAGAUCUUCCCAAGGGUGACCAACCCUCCUCUCUCCUGCAGAGAUACAUUUCUGAAGCAGUUCCAAGCGAGCUCACUUUGGCAACAGACCACGGCUGGGACGCAGCUCAGGGAAGGGGAUGGAGGUGGAGGAAGCUUUCCUUCAGCCUGCAUCCAUCCUGACCUCUUCUAAAGCCAAAUGUACUCUAAAAGGCAGAAAGUAAAUUUGACCUUCUCCUGCUCUGCAGUAAACUAACAAAUUAUAGUCUAUGCAGCUGGUGCAAAUUGAAUUUACAAAAAUAUCUCCUUACAAGCGCUUUCUAUCCCAAGACAAACAGAACUCUCUUUUAAGAGAAGCUUGGAAUCUGAUGUGUGAGCUCUCAAGCCCAAGGGUGGGGCUGAUUGGGAUGUGUGCCUCUGCUAUUCUCGUAAUUAUACCAAAACAUCAUUGGUAAUCUAGUAAGUCAUGGCGGAUACCCCUGCCUCUGCUGGAGGGGGACCAGCAGUGUUGUGCUGUUAGUGUUGGCAGGUUUGACUCCACUUUACCCGAGGGACCAUGCCCUCCUUUGGCUAGGAAUGAAUGUGUUGUUGGGCUUCUAUGUUCUUUUAAAUAACUGGUGUGCAUCUAAUCACCUGAUUAGAAUGAAUGUAAUGGCACCCCCUUGUGGCUUGUGUGUGUAGUACUCUGCUGCAUUUGGGCGUUGUUCUGCAGAGACUAAGUUCAGAACCAAGCAACAGAGCUGAUGCUGAUAGAAUUGCCUCCAGCAGCUGGAUUGAAAAUUGUAAAUCUCCAGGAUAAGGCGGCAAAUGCUUUUUUUAUUGACAAUCUGCAGAAACUCUCCUAACACAAAGGUUCAGAGCAGAGCAUUUGUCAGUCUCGGAUGAGGUCCCCUUGUGUACCUCAUGGCUGUCUUUAACACAGGCACGAUGUGCUAACAAUGGCACAAUGACGCUGGCUGCAGACAAAUGCUCCUGGUCCAUACUGGCUUGGUUUUGGAGCACCCGUGUACUCCUGGCAUGUGGAAAAGGUCCCCGUUGCCCGACAAUUUGAAUGCUCCUUGGCUAAAACUUUGAAAACUUCCUUGUAACAGAGAUCUAACUGAGAAUAAUUUUGUCCAUUCUUUACCACCUCUGUCCUCUCCAGAUCUGAAAGACUUGCUUACAAGCUAGCAAAAGGAAUAUUGGCCAAGAAAUGUAAGGCUUUUCCUUAACUGCAUCGCUGUCGCGUUAUCUUGUCUGUAACCAUGCGGUAGUCAGAAAUUGCUUCCCAUUUAUACACUUCCUCCUGUGUUUGGAAACUUCCCCAGGCAGGAGAUUAUGCUGUGCUGUGGUUCAAUGCCCUGGUCUGGCUGCUUUCUGCAGACCAACUCUGCGCUGGUUUCCACUGAGACACUGAAGAAAACUGCCCCCACUUGCUGAUACUGCGCAAUGUCUGAGGACUUGCAGUCACUGAGGAUGCAAGUGUAACAAACCAGAGGACAGCUGCAGUGAUUUGUUUCUUCUUCUCUUGCCAAGAAAAGGUGCCUGGAGUACGAGAACACCUUAGGCCUUCCUGGAGAAAGCUGUAAAGAGUAGGAAGCACUGUAACUGAGCGAUAUUUCUUCAACCAUCUGCUCCUUCUGCACUACCACAAGGGCAGGCCAGCUCCAUGUGAGUGCAGUGGUAGGUGAGCCUCGCUGGAAGCUGCAGGAAGUUUUUAAUUUUCUCUUUUUGUUCCUAGGUGUCAGACAAUGAUCUUCGCAUCGGUACACCAAAGGAAAUAAUUUAAACAUAAUUAACUUGAGCUAACGCUGAAACUCCUGGGAGCAGGAUGGUGUUAACUGUUCAGAGAUUUUUAACUUGCUUUUUAUCAGGGAUGUGAUAAUACUGUUUGAAUUAAGACUUCUUAAUUAAAUGUGACCUGGACGACACUGUGUUCUUAAUUAAACAUGACCUAGGUGACUGUACAGUUAUUAACGCCAUGUUUGCUUACACUGUAGCUCUGAUACACUCUUUAGAGUGGGGACUCCUCAACCAUUGUUUCACUGGGGGCCGACACCGCAACUUAUAUUUAUAAAUGCUGUGCAACUCUU
Molecule: RNA transcript, 7191 nt
Organism: Numida meleagris (helmeted guineafowl)
Lineage: Eukaryota; Metazoa; Chordata; Aves; Galliformes; Numididae
Gene: CDS1
Gene name: CDP-diacylglycerol synthase 1
Exons: 14
Source: RefSeq, a predicted model, not a curated record